GCAUAUCAAUAAGCGGAGGAAAAGAAACCAACAGGGAUUGCCUUAGUAACGGCGAGUGAAGCGGCAAAAGCUCAAAUUUGAAAGCUAGCACCUUCGGUGUUCGCGUUGUAAUUUGAAGAUAGUUUCCUUGAGUAGUCCUUUAUCUAUGUUCCUUGGAACAGGACGUCAUAGAGGGUGAGAACCCCGUAUGAUUUUGGAUACUACUCUUUGUGGGAUUCUAUCGAAGAGUCGAGUUGUUUGGGAAUGCAGCUCUAAGUGGGUGGUAAAUUCCAUCUAAAGCUAAAUAUUGGCGAGAGACCGAUAGCGAACAAGUACAGUGAUGGAAAGAUGAAAAGAACUCUGAAGAGAGAGUGAAAAAGUACGUGAAAUUGCUGAAAGGGAAGGGCUUGAGGUCAGACUUGGUGUUUAAUGAUUAUCAGUUCUUCUUGGACUGUGCACUCGUUUUUCACCGGGCCAAUAUCAGUUUUAGCGGUAGAGUACCCCUUGAAAUGUGGCUUCCUUCGGGGAGUGUUAUAGUCUUGGGGAGAUCUACUUGCUGGGACUGAGGACUGCGCUUCGGCAAGGAUAUGGCG
RNAcentral lists this ribosomal RNA (572 nucleotides) under Saccharomycopsis fibuligera. Its description in RNAcentral is "partial large subunit ribosomal RNA". It matches the Rfam family "Eukaryotic large subunit ribosomal RNA", at positions 38 to 630 of the family's 3401-position model. The record is from RNAcentral. Lineage: Eukaryota; Fungi; Ascomycota; Saccharomycetes; Ascoideales; Saccharomycopsidaceae.